AAUCAACGCUGGCGGCGUGCCUCAGACAUGCAAGUCGAACGCGAAAGUCCCCUUCGGGGGACAAGUAGAGUGGCGCACGGGUGAGUAACACGUAGGUAAUCCACCUUCGGAUGGGGAAUAACAACCGGAAACGGUUGCUAAUACCGCAUAAUGCAGCGGCACCUAAUGGUGACAGUUGUUAAAGCGGGGGAUCGAAAGACCUCGCGUCUGAAGAGGAGCCUGCGGCGGAUUAGCAGUUGGUAAGGUAACGGCUUACCAAGGCGACGAUCCGUAGCCGGCCUGAGAGGGCGGUCGGCCACACUGACACUGACACACGGGUCAGACUCCUACGGGAGGCAGCAGUCGGGAAUUUGGGCAAUGGGCGAAAGCCUGACCCAGCAACGCCGCGUGAAGGAUGAAAUCCCUCGGGA
This 410-nucleotide ribosomal RNA is filed under the name uncultured bacterium. Its description in RNAcentral is "bacterial SSU rRNA". It matches the Rfam family "Bacterial small subunit ribosomal RNA", at positions 32 to 423 of the family's 1533-position model. The record is from RNAcentral.